Molecule: ribosomal RNA, 149 nt
Filed under: Blastobotrys adeninivorans
Lineage: Eukaryota; Fungi; Ascomycota; Dipodascomycetes; Dipodascales; Trichomonascaceae
Description: partial 28S ribosomal RNA
Source: RNAcentral
GUUAAUAAUAAAAGGUUUUGAUUAAAUCCUCUGGCCCCGAAGGACCAAAGCAAAAAAUUACAAUAGUUCACAGGUGUUAAGGAUAAAAAUGUCCUAAGACAAUUUCGUUAAUGAUCCUUCCGCAGGUUCACCUACGGAAACCUUGUUAC